AGAAACCUUCUCGGGACAGCUUCUGACGAGAGGUUCACGAAUCUGGAACCUGUAACCUCUGGUCAAUUAAGUACAGCAAAAAGUUCACCCAGGCCUGGUGAGAGGAUUAACGGGAGGCGACGGAGGUGCGGAGGGGAAGGGAAAAUAACUGGCUGGCUUCACCCAAAGCCCUGUGCAAUCGAUGGCAAGUCUCCAGUGGGCUCGAGGCCACGGCCCAGCGAGAUGGAGGAGGUAAAUAGGACAGGCGAUCAAUCGUGGGCAAGAGGAAGGAGGACAAACGUCACAAAUCCAAUAUUAAAAAAAAAAAAAGAAGAACAGUGUUGAGUUAAAAGCUUUGGCUCGAUGGAGUUGGCCUGACAGUAUCAGAGCUUUGUCAGCACUGGGCCAUGUUUCAUCUCAAGUUGAUGCUCUUUGGCAAAAGUAAAAAAUAUAUAUAUUUAUAACGAGAAUGCCGCUGUUUUUCUCUGCGCAAAGAAAAAAAAAAAAAUCUCACCCGAAAGUUUGUGUCGCUGAGAAAAGCAUGUAGCAUCUUCCCAGAGAGGCGGUGGAGAUCGCAGCCCGGUCGC
Molecule: long non-coding RNA, 566 nt
Filed under: Struthio camelus australis
Lineage: Eukaryota; Metazoa; Chordata; Aves; Struthioniformes; Struthionidae
Description: lncRNA (ENSSCUG00000001877.1)
Source: RNAcentral